CGUAGGGUGCAAGCGUUAAUCGGAAUUACUGGGCGUAAAGCGUGCGCAGGCGGCUUUGCAAGACAGAUGUGAAAUCCCCGGGCUUAACCUGGGAACUGCAUUUGUGACUGCAUGGCUGGAGUGCGGCAGAGGGGGAUGGAAUUCCGCGUGUAGCAGUGAAAUGCGUAGAUAUGCGGAGGAACACCGAUGGCGAAGGCAAUCCCCUGGGCCUGCACUGACGCUCAUGCACGAAAGCGUGGGGAGCAAACAGGAUUAGAUACCCUGGUAGUCCACGCCCUAAACGAUGUCAACUGGUUGUUGGACGGCUUGCUGUUCUGUAACGAAGCUAACGCGUGAAGUUGACCGCCUGGGGAGUACGGCCGCAAGGUUG
Molecule: ribosomal RNA, 370 nt
Filed under: uncultured organism
Description: bacterial SSU rRNA
Rfam family: Bacterial small subunit ribosomal RNA
Source: RNAcentral